This 118-nucleotide ribosomal RNA is filed under the name Lepisosteus oculatus (spotted gar). The record is from RNAcentral. Lineage: Eukaryota; Metazoa; Chordata; Actinopteri; Semionotiformes; Lepisosteidae.
GCCAGCAGCUAUAUCACCCUGCAACUCACAACUGGCAGCAUACUGAAGCUUAGCAGGUGUGAGCCUGGUCAGUAUCUGGAUGGGAGACCUCCUGGGAAAACUAAGGUUACUGCUGUUA